Hypoxylon sp. NC1633 is the source of this 96-nucleotide non-coding RNA. NCBI's taxonomy places the organism in Eukaryota, Fungi, Ascomycota, Sordariomycetes, Xylariales, Hypoxylaceae. The record is from the annotation of a GenBank genome assembly.
UCCGAAUUGGUGUAGUGGCUAACAUUUGACGCUCUCAUAAGUUUCCCCGGAACCUUCUGUACCGUCAAGCCCGGGGUUCGAUUCCCCGAUUCGGAG